GGGUCAGUAGGUUGGUCGUGCGACCGGUACGUACUGGUCUCACUGAUUCGUCCUUCCUGAAGAACCGUAAUGCCAUUAAUUUGGUGUUGCGGGGAAACAGGACUGUUACUUUGAAAAAAUUAUACUGUUUAAAGCAAGCUAACGCUUGAAUACAUUAGCAUGGAAUAAUGAAAUAGGACGAUCGAUCCUAUUUUGUUGGUUUCUAGGAUUGACGUA
RNAcentral lists this ribosomal RNA (216 nucleotides) under Glomeromycotina sp. RNAcentral's name for it is "partial small subunit ribosomal RNA". The stretch from base 40 to 216 matches the Rfam family "Eukaryotic small subunit ribosomal RNA", at positions 686 to 864 of the family's 1831-position model. Lineage: Eukaryota; Fungi; Glomeromycota. The record is from RNAcentral.